CUCUUCCUGCUGCCCCAGAGGUCUCUGGGAUUCAAAAUCAGAGCAGCAGGACUCUGCAGGGUUGCUCAUCACUUCCUCUUCCUGCUUCCAGGUACCUCUGGGAUUUGUGGUCCACGGUCACAGCCAGCAGUGCAGCAGCCGGUCAAGCAGGGGUUAAGGAUUGAGCCCUGCCAGCUGGUCGGGUGACAAGAAGGGGAAGGCCAGAACCAUAUAAGCCACAAGUGGAGAAGGCCAGGGAGGCAGCAGAGAAGGAGACUCCCGAUGACUAUGGAGAAUCUGCGGCAGCCUCCUUGGGAAGAAUACACCAUGCUGUGAGACAGAAUCACAAUCACAUGUGUUGCCCUCAGUGUGGAGUGUGAGAUGAAGCAGGCCAAGCAUCUCAUUUGUUUAAAAAAAAUGGUUGGAAAAAUCAGCUAGCUAGCAGCAGAUAUGCAAGAUGAAGUCCUAGCUACAGAACAAUUCAGAUAAAACAUGGAGGUUUGUGAUCAAGAGCUCGACAUUGUGCCUGUGUUUCCAAGUAAUCAAAUCUAUUUCUUUCAUAUUUCUUUGAAACUCUCCAAAGAGCUGCUGCAAUGGUGAAGACAUAAAUAAAGCUAACUGUAGGUACUGGGUCUGAAAAAUAAGUAAAUUAAUAUUAUAAAUAAUUGUUUGUUUAUAUCUGGAACCCUUGGUGGAGAUUUGACUAACAUUUGUGUACUUACCUUACCUAACCUAUCUGUACCUGGCAGUAUAUGACACAGCUAAUAUUGUAUGUGCGUGUGUACAAAAGAAAAGCCUAUGAUUUGCAAAUAAAUGCGUACAAUUUUCCA
Molecule: long non-coding RNA, 809 nt
Organism: Alligator mississippiensis (American alligator)
Lineage: Eukaryota; Metazoa; Chordata; Crocodylia; Alligatoridae
Exons: 3
Source: RefSeq, a predicted model, not a curated record